CCGAAUAUCACGUCAGAAGCGGUCGAACAACCAAGAGCCGUUCCUAGCCACUGGCAAUUUGUAAUUACUGCACGUCAUAGGUCACACAGAAUGACUGUUCACAACAGGGACUGAUUUCACUCCGGGUGGCUAAAAUGAACAAGAUUCAUGAACAUAGGCGUUGUGGGCUGAGAGCUAAAGGAACAAACAACUGCAAGACGAUGGAUUUUCAACGAAGCACAGUUCGAUUUUACUUUAUCAGUCAGAUAAAGGGCACGGGGCUGAUAAGUGGGUGGAGUGGAUCUUCGCUUGGUGAAACAUGAGAGCACGACGCCUGUCACAGCAGUAAACAGCGCAGCUACAGCGAAACGUUUGACGUGUGUGCGGCAAAGACAUGAUCAUGAGGAGGGCGGAGUGGAAAGGAGGCGUACUUCAAAAGGGUCUGACCAAUACGUACAUCUGUUACAAAGGUCCAGCCAUGAUGGGUGUGAUACUCCAGAAUCGCCUCCCUUCACGGUUAGGAGGUCUGUCUGACAUCCGGGUUUCCCUCCCGGAAGAGAGAAGUCUGUCGUGGGGACUGGACCCUGUGAGGUUAACAAAAAUCAAGAAGCAUUAAUACAAUUUUUGUAAAUGCCAUUUUCAUAACAUUCUGUUAUAUGAAUGAAUGGAUCAAAGAAUGCAUGAAUGAAUGAUAUUUUAUUAAGGCGCCAUGAGUUCUAUGUCUUUGUAUCUGAAACAACACGUCGCUUUAGACAGCAUUGUACAGAACAGUUGCAUACGUUUGAACAGAAAGAAAAGUAACAAAAACUAGAACUCUUUGAACUGGUGGACAUAUUGAAAAAAAGUUAUUCGCGUAGAAUUUUGCGUAGAAAUAUUUCAAAGGUAAUAUUUCUAUCCAAGCAUUGCUCCCUAUUACCAUUCAAUACUGUUAUGUGCUCUAUAAAAUGACUAAUCUAAAUUGAAAACUAUGAAAGAAUAUGUUUCGAAGUAUAUU
Molecule: long non-coding RNA, 973 nt
Organism: Branchiostoma floridae (Florida lancelet)
Lineage: Eukaryota; Metazoa; Chordata; Leptocardii; Amphioxiformes; Branchiostomatidae
Exons: 3
Source: RefSeq, a predicted model, not a curated record